Long non-coding RNA from Andrographis paniculata, 583 nucleotides. RefSeq lists it as uncharacterized. The record is from RefSeq and is a predicted model, not a curated record. The transcript is spliced from 3 exons. Lineage: Eukaryota; Viridiplantae; Streptophyta; Magnoliopsida; Lamiales; Acanthaceae.
ACAACUUUAAUUAAUAUAUAUAUGUGCGUGUGUGUGUAUUUUUGUGUGUUUGAUGUUCAGUGAGAUCAUUAAAGGAAGAGUUGCAAUUACUUCAGGAACUUGGAUCUUAUGUUGGUGAAGUUGUCAAAGUUAUGGGGAAAUCAAAGGUUCUGGUGAAGGUGAUACCCUAACCAUUGUUAAGGCAUUUGUUAUCACUGUUACGGUCCGGAGACCGUACUUAUUCUCCCAAGUAAUGCCAGAGUGGAAUGCUCGAUGAGGUACUCGACGGAGAAAACAUCAAGUGGACUUACAAGUUGGUUGGCUGCCUCUGAUUGCUUCAUCUGUGAUUUUGCACUCGAUGAGCUUGGUCGUUCAUAGUUGUACUUUUUAGUCGACCUUAGGAUUGUACUGCAGUUUGAUACAUAUUUAUUUAUUCACGUAUUACUUUUGGAUUUGGGGAUCAAGUGUUAGCAAGUUGUUAGUUGGUUGUUAUGGUGUAUGGCAUGGUGAGUUUUGAAGAUGUUUUAAAGUACUAUUAACGUCUAGUUUUCUAUUUUUGACACGAAUAUGAAUGUUGUUGGAUUGAUGUCAUUGUGUAGAUAUG